CCUACGGGUGGCAGCAGUGGGGAAUAUUGGUCAAUGGAGGAAACUCUGAACCAGCAACGCCGCGUGAAUGAUGAAGGUCUUCGGAUUGUAAAGUUCUUUUCUACGGGAAGAAGAAAGUGACGGUACCUUAGGAAUAAGCCUCGGCUAACUACGUGCCAGCAGCCGCGGUAAUACGUAGGAGGCGAGCGUUAUCCGGAAUGACUGGUCGUAAAGGGUGCGUAGGUGGUUUGACAAGUUGGUAGCGUAACUCCGGGGCUCAACCUCGGCACUACUGCCAAAACUGUCGGACUUGAGUGCAGGAGGGGCAAUUGGAAUUCCUGGUGUAGCGGUGGAAUGCGCAGAUAUUGGGAGGAACGCCGGUGGCGAAGGCGGAUUGCUGGACUGUAACUGACGCUGAGGCACGAAAGCGUGGGGAGCGAACAGGAUUAGAUACCCGGGUAGUC
This 443-nucleotide ribosomal RNA is filed under the name uncultured bacterium. RNAcentral's name for it is "partial 16S ribosomal RNA". It matches the Rfam family "Bacterial small subunit ribosomal RNA", at positions 338 to 795 of the family's 1533-position model. The record is from RNAcentral.